UACGUAUGGUGCAAGCGUUAUCCGGAUUUACUGGGUGUAAAGGGAGCGCAGGCGGCGCGUUAAGUCUGAUGUGAAAACCCGCGGCUCAACUGCGGGACUGCAUUGGAAACUGUGCGGCUGGAGUGUCGGAGAGGCAAGUGGAAUUCCUAGUGUAGCGGUGAAAUGCGUAGAUAUUAGGAGGAACACCAGUGGCGAAGGCGGCUUGCUGGACGACGACUGACGUUGAGGCUCGAAAGCGUGGGGAGCAAACAGG
Molecule: ribosomal RNA, 253 nt
Filed under: uncultured Blautia sp.
Lineage: Bacteria; Bacillati; Bacillota; Clostridia; Lachnospirales; Lachnospiraceae
Description: partial 16S ribosomal RNA
Rfam family: Bacterial small subunit ribosomal RNA
Source: RNAcentral